RNAcentral lists this small RNA (99 nucleotides) under Arabidopsis thaliana (thale cress). Its description in RNAcentral is "ATSL157700". Lineage: Eukaryota; Viridiplantae; Streptophyta; Magnoliopsida; Brassicales; Brassicaceae. The record is from RNAcentral.
UAAAUAACAUGGAGAUGUAAUUUUGUUAUGACGAUACAAUCACAUCAAUCGCCAUCUUCAUUCUUCAUCUGAUUCAAAACUUUAACUCUCGGUCGAUCC